UCUUCGCUAGUAUAUCGGUUAGUAUAAUCGCCUCUCAAGAGAGAGCACCUGAGCUCGCAAGAGCCUCCAGUGACCGCGAUAGAGCAGGGUUCGACUCCCUGGCGGAGAA
Molecule: transfer RNA, 109 nt
Filed under: Trichosporon asahii var. asahii CBS 2479
Lineage: Eukaryota; Fungi; Basidiomycota; Tremellomycetes; Trichosporonales; Trichosporonaceae
Also listed under: 1 other name
Description: tRNA-Glu
Source: RNAcentral